UGCAAGUCGAACGAACUCUGGUAUUGAUUGGUGCUUGCAUCAUGAUUUACAUUUGAGUGAGUGGCGAACUGGUGAGUAACACGUGGGAAACCUGCCCAGAAGCGGGGGAUAACACCUGGAAACAGAUGCUAAUACCGCAUAACAACUUGGACCGCAUGGUCCGAGUUUGAAAGAUGGCUUCGGCUAUCACUUUUGGAUGGUCCCGCGGCGUAUUAGCUAGAUGGUGGGGUAACGGCUCACCAUGGCAAUGAUACGUAGCCGACCUGAGAGGGUAAUCGGCCACAUUGGGACUGAGACACGGCCCAAACUCCUACGGGAGGCAGCAGUAGGGAAUCUUCCACAAUGGACGAAAGUCUGAUGGAGCAACGCCGCGUGAGUGAAGAAGGGUUUCGGCUCGUAAAACUCUGUUGUUAAAGAAGAACAUAUCUGAGAGUAACUGUUCAGGUAUUGACGGUAUUUAACCAGAAAGCCACGGCUAACUACGUGCCAGCAGCCGCGGUAAUACGUAGGUGGCAAGCGUUGUCCGGAUUUAUUGGGCGUAAAGCGAGCGCAGGCGGUUUUUUAAGUCUGAUGUGAAAGCCUUCGGCUCAACCGAAGAAGUGCAUCGGAAACUGGGAAACUUGAGUGCAGAAGAGGACAGUGGAACUCCAUGUGUAGCGGUGAAAUGCGUAGAUAUAUGGAAGAACACCAGUGGCGAAGGCGGCUGUCUGGUCUGUAACUGACGCUGAGGCUCGAAAGUAUGGGUAGCAAACAGGAUUAGAUACCCUGGUAGUCCAUACCGUAAACGAUGAAUGCUAAGUGUUGGAGGGUUUCCGCCCUUCAGUGCUGCAGCUAACGCAUUAAGCAUUCCGCCUGGGGAGUACGGCCGCAAGGCUGAAACUCAAAGGAAUUGACGGGGGCCCGCACAAGCGGUGGAGCAUGUGGUUUAAUUCGAAGCUACGCGAAGAACCUUACCAGGUCUUGACAUACUAUGCAAAUCUAAGAGAUUAGACGUUCCCUUCGGGGACAUGGAUACAGGUGGUGCAUGGUUGUCGUCAGCUCGUGUCGUGAGAUGUUGGGUUAAGUCCCGCAACGAGCGCAACCCUUAUUAUCAGUUGCCAGCAUUAAGUUGGGCACUCUGGUGAGACUGCCGGUGACAAACCGGAGGAAGGUGGGGAUGACGUCAAAUCAUCAUGCCCCUUAUGACCUGGGCUACACACGUGCUACAAUGGAUGGUACAACGAGUUGCGAACUCGCGAGAGUAAGCUAAUCUCUUAAAGCCAUUCUCAGUUCGGAUUGUAGGCUGCAACUCGCCUACAUGAAGUCGGAAUCGCUAGUAAUCGCGGAUCAGCAUGCCGCGGUGAAUACGUUCCCGGGCCUUGUACACACCGCCCGUCACACCAUGAGAGUUUGUAACACCCAAAGUCGGUGGGGUAACCUUUUAGGAACCAGCCGCCUA
RNAcentral lists this ribosomal RNA (1438 nucleotides) under Lactiplantibacillus pentosus. RNAcentral's name for it is "bacterial SSU rRNA". It matches the Rfam family "Bacterial small subunit ribosomal RNA". RNAcentral also lists the same sequence under 1 other name. The record is from RNAcentral. Lineage: Bacteria; Bacillati; Bacillota; Bacilli; Lactobacillales; Lactobacillaceae.